RNAcentral lists this ribosomal RNA (427 nucleotides) under uncultured bacterium. RNAcentral describes it as "bacterial SSU rRNA". It matches the Rfam family "Bacterial small subunit ribosomal RNA", at positions 355 to 774 of the family's 1533-position model. The record is from RNAcentral.
UGGGGAAUUUUGGACAAUGGGCGCAAGCCUGAUCCAGCAAUGCCGCGUGCAGGAUGAAGGCCUUCGGGUUGUAAACUGCUUUUGUACGGAACGAAAAAGCUCUCUCUAAUACAGGGGGUGAAUGACGGUACCGUAAGAAUAAGCACCGGCUAACUACGUGCCAGCAGCCGCGGUAAUACGUAGGGUGCAAGCGUUAAUCGGAAUUACUGGGCGUAAAGGGUGCGUAGGUGGUGAGGCAAGUCGGAUGUGAAAGCUCGGAGCUCAACUCCGAAAUGGCAUUGGAAACUGCCUUGCUCGAGGGUCGGAGGGGGGACUGGAAUUCUCGGUGUAGCAGUGAAAUGCGUAGAUAUCGAGAGGAACACCAGUGGCGAAGGCGAGUCCCUGGACGACUCCUGACACUGAGGCACGAAAGCGAGGGGAGCAAACA